GUGGGGAAUAUUGCACAAUGGGGGAAACCCUGAUGCAGCGACGCCGCGUGGAGGAAGAAGGUCUUCGGAUUGUAAACUUCUUUUAUUAAGGACGAAGAAAGUGACGGUACUUAAUGAAUAAGCUCCGGCUAACUACGUGCCAGCAGCCGCGGUAAUACGUAGGGAGCAAGCGUUGUCCGGAAUUACUGGGUGUAAAGGGAGCGCAGGCGGGAAGACAAGUUGGAAGUGAAAUCUAUGGGCUCAACCCAUAAACUGCUUUCAAAACUGUUUUUCUUGAGUAGUGCAGAGGUAGGCGGAAUUCCCGGUGUAGCGGUGGAAUGCGUAGAUAUCGGGAGGAACACCAGUGGCGAAGGCGGCCUACUGGGCACCAACUGACGCUGAGGCUCGAAAGUGUGGGUAGCAAACAGGA
Molecule: ribosomal RNA, 409 nt
Filed under: uncultured bacterium
Lineage: Bacteria
Description: bacterial SSU rRNA
Rfam family: Bacterial small subunit ribosomal RNA
Source: RNAcentral